RNAcentral lists this ribosomal RNA (484 nucleotides) under uncultured bacterium. RNAcentral describes it as "partial 16S ribosomal RNA". It matches the Rfam family "Bacterial small subunit ribosomal RNA", at positions 30 to 507 of the family's 1533-position model. The record is from RNAcentral.
AUUGAACGCUGGCGGCAGGCCUAACACAUGCAAGUCGAGCGGAUGAAGGGAGCUUGCUCCUGGAUUCAGCGGCGGACGGGUGAGUAAUGCCUAGGAAUCUGCCUGGUAGUGGGGGAUAACGUCCGGAAACGGGCGCUAAUACCGCAUACGUCCUGAGGGAGAAAGUGGGGGAUCUUCGGACCUCACGCUAUCAGAUGAGCCUAGGUCGGAUUAGCUAGUUGGUGGGUUAAAGGCCUACCAAGGCGACGAUCCGUAACUGGUCUGAGAGGAUGAUCAGUCACACUGGAACUGAGACACGGUCAAGACUCCUACGGGAGGCAGCAGUGGGGAAUAUUGGACAAUGGGCGAAAGCCUGAUCCAGCCAUGCCGCGUGUGUGAAGAAGGUCUUCGGAUUGUAAAGCACUUUAAGUUGGGAGGAAGGGCAGUAAGUUAAUACCUUGCUGUUUUGACGUUACCAACAGAAUAAGCACCGGCUAACUUCGUG